Molecule: ribosomal RNA, 468 nt
Filed under: uncultured bacterium
Lineage: Bacteria
Description: partial 16S ribosomal RNA
Rfam family: Bacterial small subunit ribosomal RNA
Source: RNAcentral
GACGAACGCUGGCGGCGUGCUUAACACAUGCAAGUCGAACGGAAAGGCCCUGCUUUUGUGGGGUGCUCGAGUGGCGAACGGGUGAGUAACACGUGAGUAACCUGCCCUUGACUUUGGGAUAACUUCAGGAAACUGGGGCUAAUACCGGAUAGGAGCUCCUGCUGCAUGGUGGGGGUUGGAAAGUUUCGGCGGUUGGGGAUGGACUCGCGGCUUAUCAGCUUGUUGGUGGGGUAGUGGCUUACCAAGGCUUUGACGGGUAGCCGGCCUGAGAGGGUGACCGGCCACAUUGGGACUGAGAUACGGCCCAGACUCCUACGGGAGACAGCAGUGGGGACUAUUGCCCAAUGGGCGGAAGCCUGAUGCAGCAACGCCGCGUGCGGGAUGACGGCCUUCGGGUUGUAAACCGCUUUCGCCUGUGACGCAGCGUGAGUGACGGUCAUGGGUACAGAAGCACCGGCUCCCUACGUG